UUUGGUCAGUCAUCAUGGGCGAUCAUCAUUAAUCACCACGUAUCCCAUAAAUAGAACAGAACGCCAAGGGAAUGGAGAUUUAUUUUGGGCAUUUUCAAGAGGUCUGGAGAGUGGUAUUGAAGAUCUAAUGAGAUGAAAUGUUGAGGAUAAAACUAAUUUUGAUUGAUUUUAUAAAACAUUAAAUUGUCGUUUACUAAAACUUUUAAUAUUCUAUAAGAAGUUCCAUAUGAACAUAUAAAAUAUCAUUGCCAAUGUUGCCCCUCAAGUAACCCGAUUCCGAGAAACCCGUACCACUCAUGCAAAUCAAAGUGAAUCAGUGCCAAGGCAGGCAGAGAACCUGUCACGACUCCGCUCAACUUUCGGAAAGUAGCUGAAAUCUAGAAAUCAAUCGACUUCUAUCGACAAAGAUCGCAUCUAAAUGGAUUGGGUCGAUCAUUAACUUCACACUAUCUAUGGCCGGUACGUGCCUGCUGCUUCGUACGCCGGCUACCGAUUGGAAUUUACAUGAUGAUUAUGAUGCUGCGAUGAUGAUGAUCAGCGGCCACGGAUCUUGGACACACAUCGCAUGGCCCGCAUGACGCAUAAAUUUCGGCUGCUUACAGCCCGUUCCAGCCAAGUCGGAUGAGGUACACAAAAAACUACACAGCUAAUGGGUUCACGGCAUUCCGGUGGCGCAUGCGAGAAGAAGAAAGGUUCAGGAGGAGUGGAGAGAGGGGAGAGGAGGGCCAGAGUUGGCCAGAGUUUGGGGCCAGGUUCAUAGCCAGGUUGGCCAGCAACGUCCAACGUCAUCAGCAAUAUGUUGCCCGACGUCGCGACGUCGUUGAUGCUGCUACCUCGGCUACGCUGGGCCUUCUACCUGGCUUACGCAGAGAGAGCCAGGCAUCUUUUACAAUACCACCUCCAGAACAAGCCGAAGAAGCCGUUUUGCUGUUAACGAGGCCUAAACGGCUUCGCUCUGGCCCAGGCUCAGGCUCAGGUGAAAUUCUCAGAGAGUGCGGGCGCAAGAGAAUCUCCAUUUUGGAACCGGAACCAGUAGAGAAGUGGUUUUGCUAGAGAAACCCAAGUGUUCUCCCAGUGUCUCUGGGGAAUGUUCAGCUCUCUCUCGCCCUCUCUGUCUCUCUCGCCACACAGAAAUAUAUAAUAAAUAAAUCUGUGUGGGGUUUGAGCCACCUCUGUUACGCCGGGAGCUCUGGCCUGGCUCUGAGUUGACGUGACCAAAUGAAGCACUGCGACUCGAAAAUGUAUCUCAUGGAUACAAAUAUGAGAGGAGCGCGUGCGCGGCUGCCUGGGACCCGUCGCAACCAAACGGUAGCCAUGCUGGUGAAAGGCAACGCAUUGGUAUCCCCAAAAAAAACCAAGUCCAGAGAUGCCCUGCUUAUCUGAACAAAUUCUUUUUUAAUUAAGCCUCGCCUAAAGUGUUGGAAAUCUAUGAAGAUAUGACACAACAGAAGAGAACGAGGAGAACGAGGCGAGAAGACGCAACAAGAUGGAGGGCCCAGACGAUACAGAAAAAUUUAAUUAUUUACACUUCGAUAAGCAGAGCUGUCAACCACAAACAAAAGCAGCGCGUUCGAUGGCAUUGUAUCUAUGGGUCUCGCCUCGCCAGCAACCCAGAUACACGGCAUAUCACAAUCACACAUGCCAUAUAUUUCGUAUUUAAUGUCUUUAUAAAAGGUGUAGCUCGCAGAUACAUUUCUGGCGAGAGGCCACAGGCCACAGGCAACCAACCAACCAUCCAGCCGGGCUUCGGGAAAAAGGUAACAGACAUCAGGAACCGACAAUAAACAAACAGUGCAACGCGCAGUCAAGCCAAGUGGAGCGCAGAGGUUCAGGACAUGGAAACAGCAGCAGCUAUAGCUGCUACAGCAGCAGCAGCAGCCAUUUCGAAAUGCCAUUUCAUUAUGGCCAAGACCGAGGAACAGCCAAAGCCAGCGCGAGCUGAGUCAUUCCGCCGGCGAAGGAGAUGCAGGUUUUGUUAGGGGGGCGGUUGGUAUCUGGGGGACCUCGGGGACCUGGAACCCGAGAGGAAUGCCUGGCAACAAGUUUGGCGUUGCUUGUCUAGCUCUCAGCAUGCAAAUGGAUCUUCAUUUCGGACCCCAUAUACCAUGGUAUGUGUGCCUGCCAGCGAUCAGCGACGACACAUUUAACCCUGGAAUACACGAAUAGUUCCUCGGACCCACUUGGCGGACACUUCAGAGCGGCGUCUGUGCUGCCAGGGGAUUCGCUGGACAUGGAAGCAGCGAUAAAUUAAGCAGGCAGGACAGGCAGAACAGGCGCGGAAUUAAUUGGAAUACGUUUUUAUAAUGAGGCCCGGCUCAAAGGGGCACAAUCAAGGUACUUGGGGCACCACCUCAUUAAUUUCAUUUACUUGGGUUUGCAUCUAAAAAGCCAUAAAUUUUGAGGUGACUAAAAGAAAGUAUGGGCAGAGCCAGAUGGGUGGGAAUAGGGAUUGGGCAAGAAAUUUAUUUAUGAGUUUAAGGUUUAAGUGAUAGCUUAUAUAUUUAUGUAAUAUCCUUUAAUAUGAAAAAAUCAAAUGGCUAAAUAGUUGUUUCCAUUUUUAAUGCUUUUUAACGAAAUUUUCAAUAAAACAAACGUUUUUUUCAAA
Molecule: long non-coding RNA, 2605 nt
Organism: Drosophila biarmipes
Lineage: Eukaryota; Metazoa; Arthropoda; Insecta; Diptera; Drosophilidae
Exons: 2
Source: RefSeq, a predicted model, not a curated record